Long non-coding RNA from Quercus robur (English oak), 527 nucleotides. RefSeq lists it as uncharacterized. The record is from RefSeq and is a predicted model, not a curated record. The transcript is spliced from 3 exons. Lineage: Eukaryota; Viridiplantae; Streptophyta; Magnoliopsida; Fagales; Fagaceae.
UUAUCUGCUUUUUAUAUUGGUCGUAUGGUUAAUUUAUGAUCAGGGGAAGGGUGUUGAAGAGGAUAUAAUGGACAUGAUUGAUAGAGAAGCAGAUGGAAGUGAUAGUCUUGAGGGUUUUGUUUUAUGUCACUCUAUUGCUGGAGGAACAGGCUUAAGUAUGGGUUCAUAUCUGUUGGAAAUUCUAAAUGAGCGCUUCAGCAAAAAACUGGUUCAAUAUUGAAUAUCAUCCAAGGGGAAGUGGACCCUACUCAGCGUUAGGAAAAACGCUUGGAGAGAGCUUGCUAUAAAAUGCUACGCUAUGGAGUAAGGUAAGCUUCAUCAAUUUUGUCAUGCAAUUUGCUUUUCUAGUUAACGUCAUGCAAUCACAUGUUUAAGUAUGCUUUCUAGUCUUUAUUUCUAGAACAAAUUAUUCACAUGUUUAUGCUUUUUGCGUAUGUCUACAUGCACAUGCAUUUUCCAUAUCAUCUCCUAGGAUAGAUUUAUGAGCUUAUAUAAUCACAUGCUCAUGCACUUUUCCAUGUCAUUCU